AACAUACCUAAACGUUGCUUCGGCGGGAACAGACGGCCCCGUAACACGGGCCGCCCCCGCCAGAGGACCCCCUAACUCUGUUUCUAUAAUGUUUCUUCUGAGUAAAACAAGCAAAUAAAUUAAAACUUUCAACAACGGAUCUCUUGGCUCUGGCAUCGAUGAAGAACGCAGCGAAAUGCGAUAAGUAAUGUGAAUUGCAGAAUUCAGUGAAUCAUCGAAUCUUUGAACGCACAUUGCGCCCGCCAGUAUUCUGGCGGGCAUGCCUGUUCGAGCGUCAUUACAACCCUCAGGCCCCCGGGCCUGGCGUUGGGGAUCGGCGGAGCCCCCUGCGGGCACACGCCGUCCCCCAAAUACAGUGGCGGUCCCGCCGCAGCUUCCAUUGCGUAGUAGCUAACACCUCGCAACUGGAGAGCGGCGCGGCCACGCCGUAAAACCCCCAACUUCUGAA
RNAcentral lists this unclassified non-coding RNA (448 nucleotides) under Fusarium pseudensiforme. RNAcentral's name for it is "sequence contains 18S rRNA gene, ITS1, 5.8S rRNA gene, ITS2, 28S rRNA gene". The stretch from base 124 to 277 matches the Rfam family "5.8S ribosomal RNA". Lineage: Eukaryota; Fungi; Ascomycota; Sordariomycetes; Hypocreales; Nectriaceae. The record is from RNAcentral.